AGAGUUUGAUCAUGGCUCAGGGUGAACGCUGGCGAUGUGCCUAAGACAUGCAAGUCGAGCGGAGUUUGUUGUUUACACAGAGUUCCUAUCAGUAGGAGAUUCUGUGUAAAUAAUAAGUUUAGCGGCGAACGGGUGAGUAAUAAGUACAAAUAUGCCCCUCUGUAGGACACAGCCCACCGAAAGGUGGAGUAAUUUCCUAUAGUAUCUCCGGAUUAAAGACGUAAGUCGCGGAGGGAGUAGUGUACUCGCUACCAGCUUGUUGGUGAGGUAAUGGCUUACCAAGGCUAUGACGGCUAUAGGCUCUUAGCGGAGAGUCCGACCAAUGGGACUGAGACACGGCCAUACUUCACGGAAGGCAGCGUUAGGAAUUUUGCGCAUGGACGAAAGUCGACGCAGCGACAUCGCGUGUAGGAUGAAGGCCUCGGGUCGUAAACUACUUUUUGGGAGCCUGAAGGCGCCAGAAUAAGGAACUACUAACUACGUGCAGCGUCGCGGUAAUACGUAGGUUCCCAGCGUUACCCCGGUUUUAUUGGGCGUAAAGCGUCUGUAGGUGGUUUUCUAAGUCUUAUUUCAAAGACUCUGACUCAAUCAGAGAGAGGGGUAGGAUACUGGAAGGCUAGAGUUAUAUCGGGGUUACUGGAAUUUUUGGUGUAGGGGUAAAAUCCGUGGAUACCAAAAAGAACACCAAGCGCGAAGGCGGGUAACCAGGUAUACACUGACACUGAGAGACGAAAGCUAGGGUAGCAAAUCAGAUUAGAGACCUGAGUAGUCCUAGCCGUAAACAUUGUCUGUUAAUUUUUCUCCAAUUUAUUGGGGGGAGAUGUAAGCUAAA
RNAcentral lists this ribosomal RNA (832 nucleotides) under uncultured bacterium. RNAcentral describes it as "bacterial SSU rRNA". It matches the Rfam family "Bacterial small subunit ribosomal RNA", at positions 8 to 856 of the family's 1533-position model. The record is from RNAcentral.